CCUACGGGUGGCAGCAGUGAGGAAUAUUGGUCAAUGGCCGCAGGGCUGAACCAGCCAAGUCGCGUGAGGGAGGAAGGGAAGAGGGAGGGGAAAACUAGGUUGUCAGGGAGCAAAGGGCGCCACGUGUGGCGCUUUGCGAGUACCUGAAGAAAAAGCAUCGGCUAACUCCGUGCCAGCAGCCGCGGUAAUACGGAGGAUGCGAGCGUUAUCCGGAUUUAUUGGGUUUAAAGGGUGCGCAGGCGGAAUGUCAAGUCAGCGGUAAAAUUUCGGGGCUCAACCCCGUCGUGCCGUUGAAACUGGCGUUCUUGAGUGAGCGAGAAGUAUGCGGAAUGCGUGGUGUAGCGGUGAAAUGCAUAGAUAUCACGCAGAACUCCGAUUGCGAAGGCAGCAUACCGGCGCUCAACUGACGCUCAUGCACGAAAGCGUGGGUAUCGAACAGGAUUAGAUACCGAGUAGUC
Molecule: ribosomal RNA, 458 nt
Filed under: uncultured bacterium
Lineage: Bacteria
Description: partial 16S ribosomal RNA
Rfam family: Bacterial small subunit ribosomal RNA
Source: RNAcentral